GCCCUCAUAGCUCAGCUGGAUAGAGCGUCCCCCUCCUAAGGGGAAGGUCGCACGUUCGAAUCGUGCUGGGGGCA
This 74-nucleotide transfer RNA is filed under the name Halotalea alkalilenta. It matches the Rfam family "tRNA". Rfam says of the family: Transfer RNA (tRNA) molecules are approximately 80 nucleotides in length. Their secondary structure includes four short double-helical elements and three loops (D, anti-codon, and T loops). The record is from Rfam by way of RNAcentral. Lineage: Bacteria; Pseudomonadati; Pseudomonadota; Gammaproteobacteria; Oceanospirillales; Halomonadaceae.